This 3899-nucleotide long non-coding RNA is filed under the name Olea europaea subsp. europaea. Lineage: Eukaryota; Viridiplantae; Streptophyta; Magnoliopsida; Lamiales; Oleaceae. The record is from RNAcentral.
AUUGAAUCCACUAAAAAUAUGUUAAACUCAAGAUUUGACAUGAAAGAUAUGGGUUUAGCUGAUGUUAUACUUGGAGUGAAAAUCUCAAGAACAUAAUAUGGGCUUGUUCUAAGUCAGUCACAUUAUGUGGACAAAAUUUUAGGAAAAUUUCAUAAGGAUGAUAUUGGCUCGGCUAAAACACCAAUAGAUACGAGUCAACAUCUGUCUAAAAACAGAUGAGAAAGUAUCUCUCAAGUAGAAUAUUCGAGAGUUAUCGGAAGUCUAAUGUACUUAAUGAGUUGUACUAGACCAAACAUAGCCUACACAGUCAGUAAACUGAGCAGAUACACGAGUAAUCCAGGAGCUGAUCACUGGAAAGGAAUUGUAAAAGUAUUAAGGUACUUAAGAUAUAUCCGUGACUAUGGACUACAUUAUACUAGAUAUUCAGCAGUCAUUGAAGGAUACGGUGAUGCUAAUUGGAUAUCUAAUAUAAAAGACUCAAAAUCCACCAGUGGAUAUGUGUUCACAUUGGGUGGUGCUGCCAUAUCGUGGAAAUCUUAUAAGCAAAUGGUUAUAGCCAGAGUUACGAUGGAAUAUGAGUUUAUAGCUAUAGAUAAAUGUGGUGAAGAGGCUGAAUGGUUAUGCAACUUCUUAGAAGAUAUUCCAAUAUGGUCAAAACCUGUGCCAGCAAUUUGCAUAUACUGUGACAGUCAAUCGACAAUAUGAAAGGCACAGAGUAACAUAUAUAAUGGUAAGUCUAGACAUAUACGUCGUAGAUACAAUACCAUAAGACAACUACUCUCAACUGGAGUUAUCACUAUUGACUAUAUAAGGUCAAAAGAUAACAUUGCGGAUCCGCUAACCAAAGGGUUAAAUAGAGAGUUAGUUAUGAAAUCAUCGAAAGGAAUGUGAUUUAAGCCCUUGAAAGAAUAAGUCAUUACAAAGGAAAAUCCAACCUAGUUGACUGGAGAUCCCAAGAUCUAGGUUCAAUGGGAAAACCAAACUGUAAAAACUUGAUAAAAUCACUGUGCGGGUAUUACCUCCUGUCCAUUCCUAUGAUGUAACAGUGAUGCCCGUAAGGUUGAAGGUUAAGCAAUAGACUUUUAAUGAUUCUUAUGCAUCAUAAAUCGAGCCAAGUAAUGCGGGUUACUUGUAAUAAGAAAUCACCUAUGUGAGAGAGAAGUGGGGCCGCUUCUAAGAGAAUUGUGUGGGGCUCAAUUCUUAAGAACUCUCAUAGAACCAGGCAUAUGUUCAUGGACAAAACAAACAUAAUAAUGAGAAUUGGAUUGUCUUAGGAAGAAUCAUGUGUGAGGUAUAUCAUCGUUUACACAAAUGAUAGAACAGUUCAAGGACAUCGCGGCCACUGGUCAGCCAGUAAAGUAAAUAUGCUUUCACAAGGAAAGGUUCAAAGGGUGACACCUACCUAUCCUAUGCAGGAUUCAACUGCUGAAAUUUAUCACCCAGUCUUGUGUCUCACGUUUCGUGUCUCUCCCAAUUUUCAUUCAUGUAGGGGAUUGUUGGAAAAAAUUGAGUGAGCGGCUCACUUUUGGCACAAUUUUCGAUCAGACCCGUUGGUCCAAUGUAGAAUAUCAAAGUUGAUAUGUGUUCUCCUUCGCGAGAACAUCGAUUUCAUGUAUUUAUUUGCCAAAAAUGAAACUCGGGUGAAUGAGAAAUUAGAGCUCAAAGUUGGUAAUUGGAAGUUGGUUUUGUAGGAAAAAAUACAUUUAUCCCACAUAGGAAAAUCAAGAAAACUUAAACUACUUUAUAUAUGGCUAUGCUUUGGACAUGUGUAAUCAUGUGUAGCAUAGAGACUCUCUCCACGUGCGCGCGCAGGGGUGCAAAUCACGAGCCGAAAUGGCCUUCGGGCCUUGAACUUAGUUGCGGGCGCAACCUGUGCACACGAAUGUCGGAUCGAACAAGGCAAAAAUGGCCCCCUCGGAGAGCCCAUGUUUUGUCAAUUUUUUUUUUUUUUGCUUUCUCCAAUGACUUUUGAGUUUCUAAACUGCAAAAACUCGCAAUGUUUAUUCCUAGAACUGAAAAGCUGAAACUCCGGUGGUUAAUGUCGUAACUCCAGUGACUCCAAUGGACAGGAAUCAGUCUAUAUAAGGGACGCUCACUCCAACAGUUCAAUACACGAACGAAAAUUUCUCUCUGCAUACGAAAAUAUUCUUCCCAAUUUUCCACGCAGUGUCGUUUUUCCCAGUUCCAGUUUCCAUACAGUGUAGUUUCUGUUCUCUUCCAGUCACGUGCAAUUCGCCGGAGUAGGACCGUGGUGCUCGAAUUCUGCUUAUUACCGUUGUAUCCUGGGAGACAGCCGCUCGAACUGAAUCUCCAGCACCUACGGUGAGGGGGCAAAACUGUCUUAAGGAAACUGUGUACGCUCAGGCCUCGAUUUGAAAUCUGCUGCAGUUUGUGUUUUCUUUCUGUAGAUUUAUUUCGUUGCAGUUCGUGUAGUUUCUUUGCAGAUUCAGUUUAUCCUUGCAGUCUCAGUUUCCAUUUAUUUCUGCAGAUUAUUUUCGCAUCAGUUUCCAUUUAUUUUUGCAAAUUAUUUUCGCAUUGCUAUUUAAUUCAUGCAGUUUGUAGUUCUAUAGUGUGCAGCUUCCAGAUUCAUUGUUUACAGUUUUAGCCUGCAGUUAACUUAUAUUUCUGAUUUUAUGUUGCUAAACAUUUUUUUCCAGCCGCUGGAAAAUUCUGAAACGGAAUUUUUUUUUGAUAAAUUGAUAUCGUUUGCCUUGUGGUUAUCAAUUUCAAUAGUCGGCUAUUGCAUUUGAAUAAAACUUAUACAAUUGGUUUCAUCCACUAGCGACUUGUUUUCCUACAUAUUUUUGAAUUCAGAGUUGAGGCUGUUGUUGUAAAAUAAUAAAAUAAAAAAUAAAAAAAUCAUUCCCUGUCCCACAAUAUGCUUUUUAGUAUUAUCGAUUUGUGUAACAUGCUCUGCUGUAGCUACUUUGGCUUUUCUAUAGCUAAGAGGGAUUCUCGGUGGGCAUAAGCAUGGGUUUCUGAGGAGAGGCUUAUUUCAUUGCUUAUGAACAGGGGUUGAACACUUGUUGAGAGAUGUGAAAUGCUUUCAACUAACGUCAAUUUGGGUUGAUUAUUUUGUUUGAAUAGAAUGAUGCUAUUUACUUCUAUUCCUAGACCAAUGUCGCUUGUGUCGAUACGCAUGAUUUAAUUCAGAUUUCUCGAGAAGGAUCCUUUCAUUUACUCUGGUGCAUUUAGCAGUAGCUACAGAGCUUGGACAUUCCAAAGAGCUCUAUCUCAUGGCAUGUAAUUUUGUCAAGGAUUAUCCUUAAAAGUAUGCAUCUAUAAUGUUGUAUUAUUUAUAUUAACAAUCAUUGUUAAUCUUGAGAAAGAAUAUCAUGUUAUUGCUCUUAUUUAUUUUCUAAAUUUUUUGUUAGUUUUCCACCAUAGUUGAGUGUAUGACUUAAACUAUCAGGGAAAUAGGUUAUUAUAUGAAGAAAGCAACCCUAGUAAUUAAUACCAACUAUUAGGUUUGAACAUGAUUUUUUCACUCCUAGCAACAUUUCUAAAUUGUUUAAAUUAAGAAUAUUUAAUUUAGUUGACAAUAGAGCACAGAUGCAUUAUGAUUCUAACCAAUAGAAUGGAACAUAGCUAUUAUCUUCUUUAGUCAUCUAUGGAGGUGGCGUGCAAAGUUCUAGGGAGUGAGAGAAUAUUAGGAUUUUUGUCCAUAAAAGCUGUUAUGCAAAUUGGAGCUUAUGUUAGAAACCAAAUGCAGUGGUUGUGCAAAAUAUAAAAACACAAUUUUCCCAUCUGUUAUGCAAAUUGGAGCUUAUGUUAGAAACCAAAUGCAUUACCUAUGUUAAAAAAUCUAGGGCACCAUACACUGAUAUAGAAACUUUAGCACCUAGUCCUUUUUUAUUGGUUAAUAUUGUAAGUUUCUUCAAAGUUCGCAUUAAGUUCCC